This 466-nucleotide ribosomal RNA is filed under the name uncultured bacterium. Its description in RNAcentral is "partial 16S ribosomal RNA". It matches the Rfam family "Bacterial small subunit ribosomal RNA", at positions 28 to 505 of the family's 1533-position model. The record is from RNAcentral.
GACGAACGCUGGCGGCGUGCUUAACACAUGCAAGUCGAACGGAAAGGCCCUGCUUUUGUGGGGUGCUCGAGUGGCGAACGGGUGAGUAACACGUGAGUAACCUGCCCUUGACUUUGGGAUAACUUCAGGAAACUGGGGCUAAUACCGGAUAGGAGCUCCUGCUGCAUGGUGGGGGUUGGAAAGUUUCGGCGGUUGGGGAUGGACUCGCGGCUUAUCAGCUUGUUGGUGGGGUAGUGGCUUACCAAGGCUUUGACGGGUAGCCGGCCUGAGAGGGUGACCGGCAAAAUUGGGACUGAAAUACGGCCAAAACUCCAACGGGAGGCAGAAGUGGGGAAAAUUGAACAAUGGGCGGAAGCCUGAUGCAGCAACGCCGGGGGGGGGAUGGCGGCCUUCGGGUUGUAAACCGCUUUCGCCGGUGACGAAGGGGGGGUGACGGUAAUGGGUAAAGAAGCACCGGCUAACAACG